CAGAUGCAGCUGUAAAGAUCUAGAGCCUCGCCCGCAACACUUGGAGCAGAGCUGAUAUUUACACAACAGAUCACAGCCUGCUGUUCCACACAUCAGAACCUAUUGCAGUGUUGUAAGCUGUAUGUGUCUGAUUCACUAAAAAGAACCAAUUCAUUAGAGUCAUUCAUUCUGGAAAAUGGCUGUGUCCGAAAGCCUAAAAAUGUUGCUUUCGGAGGAUGCAUUACAAGCCUACACCAGUCUGCUUGGAACGCUAGCCUUCUACAAACGCAGCACACACCGGAUCUACACUCAAAGCGAACGUCGCGCCGGCGCCACCAUGGAAGUUUCACGGCCGUCAAACUAAUGCGUGACCAGGGCUGAAUCACGAUGUAACAUCGCUGUCAUAUGUAACAAAGUUACACUGACUACAAUAGGAGCGCUGUGGACCUAUAGUGCGCUAGCAUUUCAGCUGUGCGUUUGACGGUUGAAACCUAAAUGCCUGACAGAUGAGAUGGCAGAGCAUGCUGUUUUUAGAUAAUACUGAAGGAUGCUCUACAGCCAAACCAGAGGAGCCAGUGUGAAUCAAAGCAACUAUAGCCAAUGGCAACAGUUCAUGUGCAGACAGGUGAAAAAGAUACUUCUGUAGGUCAGCACAAGGUCAUCAAGCAGAAGACAGAUAAGUGACUCUGCAUGAGGUAAUACCACAUCAACCACACACACCUAUUUGGCUUGGCAAAGGGAGCUCUUUGUUAGUGCAGCGAAGUGCUGAUGGCUUCUGUCCCCCUCUGGUAGGGUCACAGGGGCCCUUUUCUGAAACAGUAUAGGCCAUGCACCUGACAAAGAUCCAGCAUCAUCAAAUAUUGAUCUAUAUUUACACUACCAGUCAUAGGUUUGGACACACUCGACUGAAAACCUUUUGAUCUUUUUCAUGAAUGCUUGAAAGUAGACUUAAAUUGUGCCUAUGUAUUUCUUUACAAAACUAAAAUUUGAAUUACAUUUUUUUCAAAUAGACGAGUUUUGUAUACAUGAGAACUUCAAUACUGUUCAAUAUAUAACAGAUAUUUAAAUUUAUUUUAUUUGAUACUUUAUUUUAUUUUCGAAUAUUGUGUAUUAAUAUUUAAAUGUAAUUCAAUUUUUUUUAAAUUAUAAAAAUUCUAAAUGAUAAUUUGCUUAUAAUUCCAUUUCGUUAUUUAAAAGUUUUAAUGACAUUUUCUGUUAUUCUGAAAUGUGGAAAAUAGAAUGAGUAGGUGUGUGCAAACAUUUGACUGUAUAUUUAUGUCAGAUAUUAUAUAAGUGCAAAUGUAUGCAUGCAUAUUAUUUAGGGGGAGUGGGGUAACAUGUCACCCACUUAAACUGCAAAGUGAUAACAUUUUAUUCUUCCUCUUUGCAGUUUUGUGUCACUCUCAAAGUCCUAUCCUAUUUCCAUCUGGAAUUAAUGACCACAUGAAUCUGGUCUCUCUGUUACUCAUCACCCAUAAUUCUCUUCUGCGACCUCUAUGACCCUCACCUCCUCUUGUGUCUGUCCUCUUCUCCUCGUCGUCCUCUUUUCCAGCAGCAUUCACCUCUGAAUGACUCGAGGCUCUGGCAGGGUGACAGCCCCUGUCUGUCUCUCCUGGACCAGCCUGAACCAACACCAGCCUAAUCCCCGGGAUCACCUUUCCCCCAUGGGGACACAAGUGUGGAUCAGUGGGACAGAGCUCCAGGAAUCUCCUCUUUUCA
Megalobrama amblycephala (Wuchang bream) is the source of this 1698-nucleotide long non-coding RNA. RefSeq lists it as uncharacterized. The transcript has 4 exons. The record is from RefSeq and is a predicted model, not a curated record. Lineage: Eukaryota; Metazoa; Chordata; Actinopteri; Cypriniformes; Xenocyprididae.